Molecule: non-coding RNA, 115 nt
Filed under: Halalkalibacter wakoensis
Lineage: Bacteria; Bacillati; Bacillota; Bacilli; Caryophanales; Bacillaceae
Also listed under: 1 other name
Description: Bacillus wakoensis SAM-I sequence
Rfam family: SAM riboswitch aptamer (S box leader)
About the family: The SAM riboswitch is found upstream of a number of genes which code for proteins involved in methionine or cysteine biosynthesis in Gram-positive bacteria. The SAM riboswitch acts at the level of transcription termination control. The predicted structure consists of a complex stem-loop region followed by a single stem loop terminator region.
Source: RNAcentral
AACUUAUCAAGAGUGGUGGAGGGACUGACCCUGUGAAGCCCGGCAACCUUUUUGCAUGCCAUGCAAAAAAAGGUGCUACUUUCAGCAGAAUGAUCAUCAUUCUGGAAGAUAAGUG